Schistocerca piceifrons (Central American locust) is the source of this 1274-nucleotide long non-coding RNA. RefSeq lists it as uncharacterized. Lineage: Eukaryota; Metazoa; Arthropoda; Insecta; Orthoptera; Acrididae. The transcript has 3 exons. The record is from RefSeq and is a predicted model, not a curated record.
CUCAUUGCAGCAGCUGUUGAAGGACUGUGGUGGCUAUCACGUAAUACCUGAAUGGAUCAGUGGUCAAAAACAGCACAUGGACAAGUCACUUGUUUUUCUGUAACUUACAGAUAGAUUGUCCUACUCAUUGGAAAGCAUAAUAACAAUAAAAUGAACCAGACUAGUUUUCCAAUAAAGCAGCAAUCUUCAAUCAGUAGCAACUUUGAAGCUGUGAAAAAGAAGAAAAGUAACUGUGGAUGUCUGGCACAAGGACUGUGGAAACAAUUUUUAAUGCCAGCAUUCCACUCAAAAAUGAAGAUUCUUGGCAGUGGAUUAACAAAUUCAUUGAGGAUUCUGGUAACACCUCAAUAUGUGGAAACGAUAAAGGGGACUAUAGUGCCAUCAACACAACAAUGGUAUAAUCGAGCAGCUAGCAGCAAACAAUGUCAUCAUAUUAAACAAAAAGACCACUAACAGGAGAGGUCAUUGUGUUUUCACUGUUGUUGAGAACUGCUGAAGCGUGGAACAAGCAGAAAUGUUUUGUUGCAAGUAUACAGGUUUUUGAGACAGCAAACUCAACACAAUGAGCUCAUGCAAUUUUGAGGGACUUUUCAGAAAUACAGUAUAUGGUGGGAUAAUGUGAAAGCGGUAGCGAGUGACAGUAACAUGAACACAUGUGUUGAGUCUUUGGAAACAAUCAUAGAUGAUCAUUUAAACCACAGAUGGGCAACCAGCGGCCUGGAUCCAGCCCACGAUUGGUUUCAAAUGGCCCCCAGAAGAAAUUCACAAAGUUACUCCUAAUUAUUUGUCAACUGGUAUUGCCUAUCACAAUGCCCUAUUCUGUUCUUCUAUUCUUUCUCAUGUUAAUGCUAGUGAAUAAUUAUUGUCCAUUGUGGAUCUAUUAGAACACUACAACUGUUGAGAUGGAAGGUAAUUUAUAAUGAAUUAGCUGCAACUAGUUGCUUUUAUAGGCAUUUAUUUUCCCAUGAUGACAUUUCAAGAUAACUGUCAACCAAUCUCCAGAAUUUCUUAUUUAAUUAUGUGUCAUGAACAUUGUUUCUUUGCUAACAGCAAUGCAGAACUUUGCAAUGGAAUUUUUUAAGACAGCUAUUGUAAAACAUUGUAACUAAAGAUAAAAUGUUCACUAUGCACAAAUAAAUGCAAGCAUCUGAAUAUGGGGUGAAAAUGAAACAAAUGUACCCUGAAAAACGCAUGUUUUGAUGCAUGGUUUGUUGGUGUGCUGUGGCAGGAGAGAGGUGCCAUUCAUACUGGCGUGUUCCCCUAGAAACAUUAAU